Molecule: small nuclear RNA, 18 nt
Filed under: Arabidopsis thaliana (thale cress)
Lineage: Eukaryota; Viridiplantae; Streptophyta; Magnoliopsida; Brassicales; Brassicaceae
Description: snRNA_07165
Source: RNAcentral
UCUAAGUCAGAAUCCGGG